Molecule: long non-coding RNA, 354 nt
Organism: Camelina sativa (false flax)
Lineage: Eukaryota; Viridiplantae; Streptophyta; Magnoliopsida; Brassicales; Brassicaceae
Source: RefSeq, a predicted model, not a curated record
UUGUGGGAAAAAAAAAAAUAUCUUACACAUUGAAAAUGGCGUCGCAAAACUCACAGCUUCACUUUGUUGUUUUCAUGAUCAUUGUUUCAGUACUCCUUGCUAACAGUGCACAAUCCACUCGAAUGAUGGAUGAUCACAUUGAUCAAUUUCUAGACUGUGAAUUCAAAGGACCAUGCCAUAGGAGGAGUGAUUGUAUCGCAACUUGUGAAGGCCAGCCUAGUAAAACUUUGUGUAUUCCUAAUCCUAGUGUAGAUAAUACCCUUCAAUGUUGUUGUAUUUCAAGUUAAAAUUUGAUUGGCAUUAUUACUGAAAUACAAAUGUUUUACCAAUAAUAUAUACUAUUGAGACACUGAA